This 3143-nucleotide ribosomal RNA is filed under the name Apostasia shenzhenica. RNAcentral's name for it is "eukaryotic LSU rRNA". It matches the Rfam family "Eukaryotic large subunit ribosomal RNA". Lineage: Eukaryota; Viridiplantae; Streptophyta; Magnoliopsida; Asparagales; Orchidaceae. The record is from RNAcentral.
CGACAUCAGGUCAGGCGGGGACACCCACUGAGUUUAAGCAUAUCAAUAAGCGGAGAAGCAGAAACUUACGAGGAUUCCCCUAGUAAUGGUGAGCAAACCGGGAUGAGCUCCGUGUGAAAAUCGGGCUAACUGGUAGCCUAAAUUGUAGUCUAAAGAGGCGACCUCAAUGAUGAAAUGGACCCAAGUCCCCUGGAAAGGGGCACCGGGGAGGGUGAGAGCCCCGUACAUCCUGCACCCUGCUGCAAUGCGAGGUGGUAUCACCAAGUCGGGUUGUUUGGGAAUGCAUCCCAAAUCAGGCGGUAAGUUCUGUCCAAGGCUAAAUACUGACGAGAGACCUAUAGCGAACAAGUACCGUGAGGAAAAGAUGAAAAGGACUUUGAAAAGAGAGUCAAAGAGUGCUUGAAAUUGUUUGGAGGGAAGCUGGUGGGGGUCAGCGAUGCGCCUCAGCCUGAAACAGAAUGACGAUGGGCUGGUCCGCCGCUCGGCUUGAGGCGUUGGUCGUUGCCAGCUGUGGCGUCGGCCGGUGCCUAAGCUUUUGAUGCUCAAGGACAUACCGCCGACUCGGCCGGGUGUACAGGAGCAUGCGCUUUCCCGCGAGCAUGCGCUUUACCGGGCUGCAGGCUCCCCAUUCGUCCUGUCUUGAAACACGGACCAAGGAGUCUGACAUGUGUGUGAGCCGAUGGGUGCGAAAGCCCGGAUGGAGCAAAGAAUCGAAUGCGUGGGAUCCCUAAUCGGGGAGCACCACGGACUAACCCCGAUCUUAUGUGAAGUGUUCGAGUGGGAGCAUGUCUGUCAGGACCCAAAAGAUGGUGAACUAUGCCUGAGCGGGGCAAAGCCAGAGGAAACUCUGGUGGAGGCCCGCAGCGAUACUGACUUGCAAAUCGUUUGUCUAACUUGGGUAUAGGGGCGAUUGACUAAUCAAACCAUCUAGUACUUGGUUCCCUCCAAAGUUUCCCUCAGGAUAGCUGGAGCCCAUUCGAUGUUCUAUCAGGUAAAGCCAAUGAUUAGAGGCUUCGAGGGCAACACCCAACUGUGCACUAACCCAGAAACCACAAAGGGUGUUGGUCGAUUAAGACAGCAGGACGGUGGUCAUGGAAGUUGAAAUCCGCUAAGGAGUGUGUAACAACUCACCUGCCGAAUCAAUUAGCCCCAAAAAUGGAUGACGCUUAAGCGUGCGACCCAUACCCAACCGUCGGGGCUAUCGUCAUGUCCUGAUGAGUACGAGGGCGUGGCAAAUACCGCAAAAAUCGGGCGCGAGCCAGUGCAGAGCGGCCGCCAUUGUCGAUCUUGGUGGUAGUAGCAAAUAUUCAAAUGAGAACUUUGAAGGCCGAAGGGAGGAAAGGUUCCAUGUGAACGCACUUGCACAUGGGUUAGUCGAUCCUGAGAGACGGGGGAGACCCGUAUGAGAGCGCCGCAUGGUGUGCGAGCUUCGAAAAGGAACCAAGUUAAAAUUCCCGAGCUUGGAUGUGGCAGCGGACGACAAUGUGAGGCAGUCCAGAGACACCGGUGGGGGCCUCAGAAAGAGUUAUCUUUUCUACUUAACAGCCUGCUAGCCUUAGAAAUGACUCUGCUGGAGGUAGGGUCCAGCGGCUAAAAGAGCGACGCAAGUCGAGCAGCGUCCGCUGUGCACCCGGCGGCCCGUGAAAAUCCAAAUGGCCGGGUGCCUCCCACACCUGGUCGUACUCAUAACCGCAUCAGGUCUCCAAGGUUAACAGUCUCUGGUUGAUGGAGCAAUGUAGGCAAGGGAAGUCGGCAAAAUGGAUUCGUAACUUCGGGAAAAGGAUUGGCUCUAUGGGUUGGGCACGGGGGUCCCAGUUCCAAACCCAUCGACUAUCGGUGAACUGCUUGAGCUACUGUCAUGGUGAGAGCGGGUUGCUGCGUGCUGGUUGGGGGACGGACUGGGAACAUUCCCCUCGGGGCACUUCCCUGGGCGUCAAACAACCGACUCAGAACUGGUACGGACAAGGGGAAUCUGAUUGUUUAACUAAAACAAAGCAUUGCAAUGGUCCCAGCGGAUGCUCACACAAUGUGAUUUCUUCCCAGUGCUCUGAAUGUCAAAGUGAAGAAAUGCAACUAAGUGCGGGUAAACAAUGGGAGAAACUAUGACUCUCUUAAGGUAGCCAAAUGCCUCGUUAUCUAAUUAGUGACAUGCAUGAAUGGAUUAACGAGAUUCCCACUGUCGCUGUCUACUAUCUAGCGAAACCACAGACAAGGGAACGGGCUUGGCAGAAUUAGCGAAAAAAGAAGACCCUGUUGAGCUUGACUCUAGUAUGACUUUGUGAAUUGACUUGAGAGGUGUAGGAUAAGUGGGAGCCGGUCCUACUAGCGGAAGUGAAAUACCACUACUUUUAAUAUUAUUUUACUUAUUCUGUGAGACGGAGGUGGGGCCUGGCCCCUCCUUUUGGAUCCAAGUCCCGCCCUGGCGGGAAGAUCCUGGUGAAGACAUUGUCAGGAGGGGAGUUUGGCUGGGGCGGCACAUCUGUUAAAAGAUAAUGCAGGUGUCCUAAGCUGAACUCAACGAGAAGAGAAAUCUUGUGCGGAACAAAAAGGUAAAAGCUUGUAUGAUUCAGAUUUCCAGUACGAAUAUGAACCGUGAAAGCGUGACCUAUCGAUCCUUUAGAACUUCGAAAUUUGAAGCUAGUGUGUCAGAAAAGUUACCACAGGGAUAACUGGCUUGUGCAGCCAAGCGUUCAUAGCGACGUUGCAUUUUGAUCCUUCAAUGUUGGCUCUUCCUAUCAUUGUGAAGCAGAAUUCACCAGGUGUUGGAUUGUUCACCCACGAAUAGGGAACGUGAGCUGGGUUUAGACCGUCGUGAGACAGGCUAGUUUUACCCUAUUGAUGAUCAUGCCGCGACAGUAAUUCAACUUAGUACAAGAGGAACUUUUGAUUCACACAAUUGGUCAUCGCACUUGGUUAAAAAGCCAGUGGCGCGAAGCUACCAUGUGCGAGAUUAUGACUGAACGCCUCUAAGUCAGAAUCCAUGCUGAAAAUGCAGCGCCAGUGCUCGUCGUUCGCCCAGUGUCCCGAAGUAGGAGACUCCAAUCACACAUGGGCGGCGGACGGAGGUUGCUUCCUUCCACAGGGCAUAAAGGCCGUGGCAGACCCCUUGAUGUGAAGUUUCAAAAGGGCGGCGAGCUGAAUCC